ACGGGGGCCCGCACAAGCGGCGGAGCAUGCGGAUUAAUUCGAUGCAACGCGAAGAACCUUACCAAGGCUUGACAUACACUGGACCGUUCUGGAAACAGUUCUUCUCUUUGGAGCUGGUGUACAGGUGGUGCAUGGUUGUCGUCAGCUCGUGUCGUGAGAUGUUGGGUUAAGUCCCGCAACGAGCGCAACCCUCGUUCUAUGUUGCCAGCACGUGAUGGUGGGAACUCAUAGGAGACUGCCGGGGUCAACUCGGAGGAAGGUGGGGAUGACGUCAAAUCAUCAUGCCCUUUAUGUCUUGGGCUUCACGCAUGCUACAAUGGCUGGUACAGAGAGAGGCGAACCCGUGAGGGUAAGCGAAUCCCUUAAAGCCAGUCUCAGUUCGGAUCGUAGUCUGCAAUUCGACUACGUGAAGUCGGAGUCGCUAGUAAUCGCAGAUCAGCAACGCUGCGGUGAAUACGUUCCCGGGCCUUGUACACACCGCCCGUCAAGUCACGAAAGUCGGUAACACCCGAAGCCGGUGUCCCAACCCACUUGUGGGAGGGGGCCGUCUAAGGUGGGAC
RNAcentral lists this ribosomal RNA (560 nucleotides) under Brevibacterium permense. RNAcentral describes it as "bacterial SSU rRNA". It matches the Rfam family "Bacterial small subunit ribosomal RNA", at positions 913 to 1468 of the family's 1533-position model. Lineage: Bacteria; Bacillati; Actinomycetota; Actinomycetes; Micrococcales; Brevibacteriaceae. The record is from RNAcentral.